This 837-nucleotide ribosomal RNA is filed under the name uncultured archaeon. RNAcentral describes it as "bacterial SSU rRNA". It matches the Rfam family "Archaeal small subunit ribosomal RNA", at positions 21 to 859 of the family's 1478-position model. The record is from RNAcentral.
GGUUACUGCUAUCGGUGUUCGCCUAAGCCAUGCGAGUCAUAUGUUCGUAAGAACAUGGCGUACUGCUCAGUAACACGAGGAUAACCUGCCCUUGGGUCCGGCAUAACCCCGGGAAACUGGGGAUAAUUCCGGAUAACGCACAUAUGCUGGAAUGCUUUAUGCGUAAAAUGGAUUCGUCUGCCCAAGGAUGGGUCUGCGGCCUAUCAGGUAGUAGUGGGUGUAAUGUACCUACUAGCCUACGACGGGUACGGGUUGUGAGAGCAAGAGCCCGGAGAUGGAUUCUGAGACAUGAAUCCAGGCCCUACGGGGCGCAGCAGGCGCGAAAACUUUACAAUGCGGGAAACCGUGAUAAGGGGACACCGAGUGCCAGCAUCCUAUGCUGGCUGUCCGGGUGUGUAAAAUACACCUGUUAGCAAGGGCCGGGCGAGACCGGUGCCAGCCGCCGCGGUAACACCGGCGGCCCGAGUGGUGAUCGUGAUUAUUGGGUCUAAAGGGUCCGUAGCCGGUUUGGUCAGUCCUCCGGGAAAUCUGACAGCUUGACUGUUAGGCUUUCGGAGGAUACUGCCAGACUUGGAACCGGGAGAGGUAAGAGGUACUACAGGGGUAGGAGUGAAAUCUUGUAAUCCCUGUGGGACCACCUGUGGCGAAGGCGUCUUACCAGAACGGGUUCGACGGUGAGGGACGAAAGCUGGGGGCACGAACCGGAUUAGAUACCCGGGUAGUCCCAGCCGUAAACGAUGCUCGCUAGGUGUCAGGCAUGGCGCGACCGUGUCUGGUGCCGCAGGGAAGCCGUGAAGCGAGCCACCUGGGAAGUACGGCCGCAAGGCUGAAACUUAA